Molecule: long non-coding RNA, 627 nt
Filed under: Zonotrichia albicollis (white-throated sparrow)
Lineage: Eukaryota; Metazoa; Chordata; Aves; Passeriformes; Passerellidae
Description: lncRNA (ENSZALG00000001057.1)
Source: RNAcentral
CGCGGGGAGAUCCCGGUGGAAGCCACGGCUGAGCGGAGCUCCCUGUGAGCAGCCUUACCUGCUCCUCACUGCUGCCAAGUGUCGGGUGCUGCUCGGUGUAGCCCUCUUCCCAGAGAGCCUCCGGUCUGUUUCCUUGCAUAACCGAUGCAUUGGGGAAUUUUUGUACAAGAUGCUGUGGUGCUCUUGUUGCUUGUGUGGCAGCAGCUCAAGGGACUGGGCCCAGCCCUGCUGGAGGAGAACAGGACCAGUGACAGCCUGACAUUGCCCCAGAGGCUUCUCAACUCCUGGGUAACUUCAUCCUCAGCUGCUGAAGGUGGCUGCUGGGUCACUUUUGUCAGUGGGACUGGAAGGGAGCCAUCACCUGCCUCCUGGAUGGCCUGCCAGCCCUGGUGUGUGGUUAAACAGGAAAUAUUCUAACUGGCUGGGAUCCCAGUGAGCAAUUACAAAUAUUUUAUUAUAGUUAAAGGACUUGGAAUUCAGCCUCAGGCUGUGGGCAUCAGAAAAUCCAUGUGUGGAAAUCCCAAGUGUUGCAAGCAGCCUGGGAGGGUUUUAUAUGGAGGGAUUCCUUCUCAUUUUACUGAAGUUACACUCGUGGUUUAAAAAUAAAAUAAAAAGCUUGGACUUGCA